AUGCUGGAUUAUAUGGAUUUUUGCAGAUCAUUGGUGGAAAAGAAGUCCUGCCCAAGAAAUUCAGCAUUAUUGUUUCUUCUACUCAUCUGUCUGUUCCUGUCAUCAUCAGUAACUCUUCAAAAUGUUCUACAUCAUCAUCAUCAUCAUAUUGUUCAUUGGUGUGUUCAGUGUGAACGGCCUCUUACUGAUUCAGUUUGGUUAGUGAUACAUAUUUCUCUUUCCAUUACAACAUCAGAUUCGUCCACACAUUAUAUAGAGCUGGUUUACUUUUUUGCUCUGGCUGUGGUUGCAGUUUUCUGUUGUAUUUUCUAUUACUAUCACCAAAGGACAUCUAAACAAGAGGCUAAUCAAGGCCAACCUGAUGGAGAAGAACACAUCUGGCUGACUAAUGGUGAGAGACUAUUUAACUAUGACUCUUGUGUUUAUAUAUGGCUUGAUUCUGUCCACUGACACAGUGAUAUCUCAUUGUGUUAACUCUACAGCUUAAAUUAACUAUGUUUUUAUUGCUACGAGACAUUUUUUUUUCAGCAGGUGCAGAAACGCCUGAUCAGGAGAAACAUUCAAAAAACAGUAAGUUACUGUACAACUAAUACAUUUUAUGGUUCCGAACUUUCUAAGUUUGAUAUGAUUACAAAGAUACCACUGCUGUAAACAUGAACAUUAUUCAUUGUGCGAUGAAACCUAAAUUGUUUAUCCCAAGUACGGAUGCUUAUUUACAACAUUUCAAGAUGGCACCACUGAGUUCGGAUGCUUUCCAGGUCGCUUUCACUUCGAUUGUGUUUGUAUUUACUUUUGCACUUUAUAUUGCUCUCUCUUUUUACACACAUAUUGUCUGCAGUGAUCACUUAUGACAAAGGAACACUUUUGAACAUUGGACACCGAUUGGACUUUAUCUUGCAACCCAACAUGGCCAUCUGAGAUUCUCUGGAACGUCUAGAUGAACAAUGGCUACCUGAAUAACCACCUCCACGUCAACAGUCAUGAAGGUCUUUGAGAAACUCAUAAAGAACAGCAUCUGCUCCUCCAUUCCUGAUAAUUUGGACCCUCUUCAGUUUGCCUAUCACCCCAAUAGAUCCACUGAAGAUGCCAUCUCUCACGUCCUGCAGUCUUCUCUCACGCACAUUGACAGCAGCAAUGGGAACUAUGUAAGAGUGCUAUUUUCGAUUAUAGCUCAGCUUUCAGUACUAUAGUCCCCAUCAAGCUAGCUUUUAAACUCAUGGACCUUGGCCUGAAUUCUUCAUUAUGCAACUGGAUUCUUGAUUUCCUCACCACCAGACCUCAAGUGGUGAAACUAGGCCAGUACACCUCCAGCUCCAUCAGCCUGAAUGGAGGAGCCCCACAGGGCUGUGUCCUGAGACCUCUUCUCUACUCUCUCUACAACAUGACUUUGUGUCUUCGCACAGCUCCACAUCUAUAAUCAAAUUUGCUGAUGAUACUAUGGUUCUGGGCCUCCAUUCCAACAAUAAUGAGAACGCAUACUUGAAUGAGGUAGAGAAACUCACAUCAUGGUGCCAGGAAAAUUGUCUCUAUAUGAAUGUGAGUAAAACUGAAGAGCUGAUUGUGGACUUCAGGAAGAGACAACAGCAGCCUUAAGCCCCUUUCAUACUGCAUGUUGGACCCAAAAAAUCAGUAAGAUACUGAAUAUAUUGACAUUGUCACUUGCUAUUUCUAUACUUUUUAAUUUUUAUUUAUUAACUCUUUUUUUUUACCUCUAUUGCCGCUAUGUAAAAACCCUGUACAACCUGUUUGCACAUUCUUCCCAUGUACAUUCAUCUUGUACUCAUCUUAAUAUUUAUUAAGUCUAAGGUAUACUGUCCUGUGCAUUUUAUUUUAAAGCUUUUUAUUUAAUUCUUAUUUUUAUCUUUUUCCAUAUCUUAUAUUUUGUAUAUAAGAUUAUAUAUUCAUAUUUAUAUUUUGUAUUAUUUUCUUGUGUUUGUAUUCUUUAAUAAUUGCACUGUCCAUGGUGCGUACCUGACUUAGAUUUCACUGCUGGUCAUAUGAUCUCCAUAUAACCAUGUA
This is a long non-coding RNA of Carassius auratus (goldfish), 2019 nucleotides long. The record is from Ensembl. NCBI's taxonomy places the organism in Eukaryota, Metazoa, Chordata, Actinopteri, Cypriniformes, Cyprinidae.